GAUGAACGCUAGCGGCAGGCCUAAUACAUGCAAGUCGAACGGCAAGAUUUGGUAGCAAUACUGAAUCCUAGAGUGGCGCACGGGUGAGUAACGCGUACAUGACAUACCUAUAAGCGAGGGAUAGCAUUGGGAAACUGGUAGUAACCCCUCAUGUGAUUAUUUGUAAUAAAGGUAAAUAAUUAAAACUACGGUGCUUAUAGAUCGGUGUGCGUCUGAUUAGCUAGUUGGCGAGGUAACGGCUCACCAAGGCGACGAUCAGUAGGGGGCGUGAGAGCGUGAACCCCCACACGGGUACUGAGACACGGACCCGACUCCUACGGGAGGCAGCAGUAAGGAAUAUUGGUCAAUGGAGGGGACUCUGAACCAGCCAUGCCGCGUGCAGGAUGAAAGCCCUCUGGGUUGUAAACUGCUUUUAACAGGGAAGAAAAUGCUAUACGCGAUAUAGUACUGACGGUACCUGAGGAAUAAGCACCGGCUAACUCCGUGCCAGCAGCCGCGGUAA
Molecule: ribosomal RNA, 502 nt
Filed under: uncultured bacterium
Lineage: Bacteria
Description: bacterial SSU rRNA
Rfam family: Bacterial small subunit ribosomal RNA
Source: RNAcentral